AUUGAACGCUGGCGGCAUGCCUUACACAUGCAAGUCGAACGGUAACAGGUCUUCGGAUGCUGACGAGUGGCGAACGGGUGAGUAAUACAUCGGAACGUGCCUAGUAGUGGGGGAUAACUACUCGAAAGAGUGGCUAAUACCGCAUGAGAUCUACGAAUGAAAGCAGGGGAUCGCAAGACCUUGUGCUACUAGAGCGGCCGAGGGCAGAUUAGGUAGUUGGAGGGAUAAAAGCUUACCAAGCCGACGAUCUGUAGCCGGUCUGAGAGGACGAUCAGCCUAACUGGGACUGAGACACGGCCCAGACUCCUACGGGAGGCAGCAGUGGGGAAUUUUGGACAAUGGGCGCAAGCCUGAUCCAGCAAUGCCGCGUGCAGGAUGAAGGCCUUCGGGUUGUAAACUGCUCUUGUACGGAACGAAAAGCCCUGGGUUAAUACCCUGGGGUCAUGACGGUACCGUAAGAAUAAGCACCGGCUAACUACGUGCCAGCCGCCGCCGUAA
Molecule: ribosomal RNA, 498 nt
Filed under: uncultured bacterium
Lineage: Bacteria
Description: partial 16S ribosomal RNA
Rfam family: Bacterial small subunit ribosomal RNA
Source: RNAcentral